This 335-nucleotide long non-coding RNA is filed under the name Danio rerio (zebrafish). RNAcentral's name for it is "si:ch73-383o19.2 (ENSDARG00000095396.4)". Lineage: Eukaryota; Metazoa; Chordata; Actinopteri; Cypriniformes; Danionidae. The record is from RNAcentral.
GUAAAAGGUCGAGCUGCUUACGACAUUUGACGUUUAUUUCAUAUUUGGGAAGAUGCAAAGAGGUUGCUGGUUCGAGCCUCGGCUGGGUCAGUUGGCGUUUCUGUGUGGAAUUUGCAUGUUCUUCCCGUGUUGGCGUGGGUUUCCUCCGGGUGCUCCAGUUUCCCCCACAGUCCAAAGACAUGUGCUGUAGAUGAAUUGGCGGAUGACCUUCCAGCUGCAACCAAUCACUGCGAAAUCUGGACAAUGUUGUGAAGUUUUCCAUUGCUGUUGCUUGUGGUGUAAAAACACUUGUUGGAUUUAUCUAAGAUUCUUCAAUAAACUGCUCUUUAUCAUCA